UACGUAGGUGGCAAGCGUUGUCCGGAAUUAUUGGGCGUAAAGCGCGCGCAGGCGGCCUCUUAAGUCUGAUGUGAAAGCCCCCGGCUCAACCGGGGAGGGCCAUUGGAAACUGGGAGGCUUGAGUAUAGGAGAGAAGAGUGGGAAUUCCACGUGUAGCGGUGAAAUGCGUAGAGAUGUGGAGGAACACCAGUGGCGAAGGCGACUCUUUGGCCUAUAACUGACGCUGAGGCGCGAAAGCGUGGGGAGCAAACAGG
This 254-nucleotide ribosomal RNA is filed under the name uncultured bacterium. RNAcentral describes it as "partial 16S ribosomal RNA". It matches the Rfam family "Bacterial small subunit ribosomal RNA", at positions 524 to 776 of the family's 1533-position model. The record is from RNAcentral.